AAUUUUUGUUCUCCCCUAAUGAGUUUCCAGUUAUUUCUACAUUAAACUUCUUUAUUGCAUCCACUAUAUAUCUCAUCCUGUCUUUAGUGAUUUGCUUCCUUUGUCUUUCUGUGCUUUGUUCCUGAAUAUUUUCUACCUUCCUCAUUGUUUCUUUCUUCAGCUAUAUCUAAUCUGUAGUUAGACCCUUAUACACAGUUCUUAACUUUGUUGCAUUUUUUAGUUUUAAAAUUUCCUUUUAAAAUAGCUUUGAGUUAUUUGAAACAAAUUGAAAGUUUUAUCCUGGCACAUAUGAAGAAUAGCUAUUUUAUAUGCCAUGCCUUAUAGCUCAGUUUUUUGGACUCCAAAUAAAUUGUUCUUUUGUUGGUUUUCUUGUUUUCUAAUAUGCUUGGUGGUUUUAAUAUUAAAGCCAGACACUGUAUAUGAGAAACAUUAAAUAAUUUGAACUCUAGAACACAAAGAAUAUACAAAUCAACGUAACAUUAGUACAUUCUGUACAGAUGGAGUCACCAGAGAGUUUUAAAAAUUACUGCUGCUUGAACUCCAUACUCAAAGAUUAUGACUCAGUUGUUCUGGAGUUGGACCUGGGCAUUAGUAUUUUGCAAAACAUUCUUCAGUGAUUCUACUGAGUAACAGGAUUGAAUCCAACCCGACAUAAACUAUGAUAAAAAUAGUACAGAAAGGGAAAAUAAAUCACUUAAUCUCACUUGUGAAUAUAGCUGCAAAAUAAUAUAUAUAAUUCAACUGUUAUAAAAAUUAGGCUUUAACUAAAUAGGCUUUAUUGCAGUAACACUUGAAUGAUUUCCUCACAGAAAGUUUGUGGGUAUAAUUUACUACAUUUCCUAUGGAGAAAACUCAUAGGAACAUAUCAUUAGAUGUUGAAAAUAUAACAACAGGAUAAAAAUAUUUUAAUAGGAAUGGAAAGAAAUUACUGAAAUGUAAUAAAGUUUGUUUGGUAUAUAUUAAUAAUGCUUACCAAUAUCUGGUUCCUGGCAUACAGAUGGUUAUAUUUCCCAGACCCUUUGCAGGGAACAUGGUGGAGUCACUUGAGUAGUUUGUUAAUGGGCUGUGCUGCAGCAUGGGUGAGUGGGUCUGAGAACAUUGUGUGCUUGUCUUGCACCGGGGCUGUCCAGAAGGCUUUGUGUUGUGAUGACAGAGAGAGGAUUGAAACAGCAUACUUUAUGUCACUUCGUGGAGAACAGCAUGACUAGAGGUUGGCCAGACACACAGCUGGCUUGUGGGAGUUAGAAAUAAAUGUGUUAAGUCCUUGAGAUUUUGGAGUUGUUUGUUACUACAGCACCACCUCCUUUGACCUGAGGUUUUUGGAAAGCUUUUACAGCAAAGGUCCAGACAGUAAAUGUUUUAGACAACAUGGGUCAUAUGGUCUCUGUCACAAUUACUUCAUACUUCCAUUGUUGCAGAAAGUAACCAUAGGAAAUACAUAUGUGAAGCAUGGAUAUGUUCCAGUAAAACUUUAUUUACAAAAGCAGGUGACAAAUUUAGUCCACAGAGCAUGGUUUGCUGACCUGAGUUCUUGGCUUAUACUUUUGCUUACUCAUAUCUCAUUAUAAGUAUAAUUCUAAGUAAUAAAAUCCUAGAGCAUUUCAAUUGCAAAUAGAAACAAGCAGAGUUGUACCCACUAUUGACACUUAAUAACACUACUUUAGAGGGUAUAGGUAAUGCAAUAGGAUGUAAAUUUGAAAUAAUUGGUAUAAAUAUUGGACAAACAUUUUUGCUGAUAAAAUAAUCACAUACCCAGAAAAUACAGGAAACACUAGUAAAAAUGGGAUUUAUAGGAUAAUUUGGUAAAAUGACUGAAUAAGAUAGAUAUACCAGAUCUGUCUGGGAAAAGUCCAACUAUUGUUAAUAUAAUAAGAAUGGUUUGCAUGACAUCAAUGUAACCUGGCAGCCAAGAAGAGGGGACUGGAAUGCACAUGUGUGAACAAUGAUGACUUCACUAUUCUAGUCAGUUGGAGCAGUAGUCACUAUUGAGUGAGCAUGUGUACUUGUGUGGCUGUCACAUUCAAAAUGAGUGAGCGAGUAGAGCACCAAAUCUGCAUCUAAUUUUGCAUUAAGCUUGAACAUUCCUCUGCAGAAACUAUUUGGAUGAUUCAGAAGGCGGCAGUUAUGCACAACUGGUGAUU
This is a long non-coding RNA of Phyllostomus discolor (pale spear-nosed bat), 2141 nucleotides long. RefSeq lists it as uncharacterized. The record is from RefSeq and is a predicted model, not a curated record. NCBI's taxonomy places the organism in Eukaryota, Metazoa, Chordata, Mammalia, Chiroptera, Phyllostomidae. The transcript is spliced from 3 exons.